Molecule: ribosomal RNA, 650 nt
Filed under: uncultured organism
Description: bacterial SSU rRNA
Rfam family: Bacterial small subunit ribosomal RNA
Source: RNAcentral
CGAUGUAUGCUUGGUGUUGGAAUUUUUGAUUUCAGUGCCAGAAGGAAACCCGUUUAAGCAUACCACCUGGGGAGUACGAUCGCAAGGUUGAAACUCAAAGGAAUUGACGGGGGCCCGCACAAGCGGUGGAUCAUGUGGUGUAAUUCGAUGCAACGCGAAGAACCUUACCUGGGCAUGAAGUGCAGGCAGUAGUGAUUCGAAAGAUGAUCGAACCGUUAAGUCGGAAACCUGCAGAGGUGCUGCAUGGCUGUCGUCAGCUCGUGCCGUGAGGUGUUGGGUUAAGUCCCGCAACGAGCGCAUACCCCUAUCAUUAGUUGCCAUCAGGUUAUGCUGGGAACUCUAAGGAGACUGCCUACGCAAGUAGAGAGGAAGGUGGGGAUGACGUCAAGUCAUCAUGGCCCUCAUGUCCAGGGCUACACACGUGAUACAAUGGUCGGUACAGUGGGCGAAGCCGCGAGGUGGAGGAAAUCCCCAAAACCGAUCUCAGUUCGGAUUGUAGUCUGCAACUCGACUGCAUGAAGUUGGAAUCGCUAGUCCUCCUCGAUCAGCGUGCUACGGUGAAUACGUUCCCGGGCAUUGUACACACCGCCCGUCAAGCCAUGGAAGCUGGGGUUACACCGAAGACGCAUUUUUAUGUGUCGAAGGCGAAA